UACGAAGGGGGCUAGCGUUGUUCGGAUUUACUGGGCGUAAAGCGCACGUAGGCGGUUUGUUAAGUCAGGGGUGAAAUCCUGGAGCUCAACUCCAGAACUGCCUUUGAUACUGGCAAUCUCGAGUCCGGAAGAGGUAAGUGGAACUCCUAGUGUAGAGGUGGAAUUCGUAGAUAUUAGGAAGAACACCAGUGGCGAAGGCGGCUUACUGGUCCGGAACUGACGCUGAGGUGCGAAAGCGUGGGGAGCAAACAGG
RNAcentral lists this ribosomal RNA (253 nucleotides) under uncultured bacterium. Its description in RNAcentral is "partial 16S ribosomal RNA". It matches the Rfam family "Bacterial small subunit ribosomal RNA", at positions 524 to 776 of the family's 1533-position model. The record is from RNAcentral.